AAUGCAGACCACUGUUCCCAUUGAAAUGGCAUAAAAACUUCUGUAUAUAAAGUCUGCUGCUAGAUUUAGGAAUUGCCUAGAACUCAGACUUUCAUCUAAAUCAUGCAUUCUAGGAUUGCUAAAUAUGCAAUUGAACAUUUGAAUCUCAUUCAAGUCACUGUAAGAAAUCAAGGAUGAUAGCUUGACAUAACACCUACAAAAUUUGAAUCGAUUAAGAGUGAGUGAGGUCAGAAAUAUACCUCCUGCUUAUAGAUUGGGAACCAAAGUUUAGAUUGACAUUUUUAGCUUGCUGUCCUUAUUUUUCCUUAUUUUUCUGCUUUGUUUUCUCUUCUAUUCAAGGUUUUUUGGAUCCUCCAAUGAAGUUUUCCAACUGUAUCUAAUUGUUUCACUUUACUUUUGCUUCAUUUACCAUUUGGGUUUCAUAAUUGCUGUAG
Molecule: unclassified non-coding RNA, 434 nt
Filed under: Hevea brasiliensis (rubber tree)
Lineage: Eukaryota; Viridiplantae; Streptophyta; Magnoliopsida; Malpighiales; Euphorbiaceae
Source: RNAcentral